This is a long non-coding RNA of Polypterus senegalus (gray bichir), 1049 nucleotides long. RefSeq lists it as uncharacterized. The transcript has 3 exons. Lineage: Eukaryota; Metazoa; Chordata; Cladistia; Polypteriformes; Polypteridae. The record is from RefSeq and is a predicted model, not a curated record.
GAUUCGAGUAUUUGUUGAGAUUUGUAAAUGGUGAAUCUGCGUCUGCAAUUCAGUAGUACCUGAAGAAUUGCUGCGUACAUCUGUAAUCGCAGAAGAAAGCCAAAAACGCUUUUUAUCUUCACCAUGAGCCACGCGGCAGUAUAAGCAGGCGGCAGUUUCAGGACAGGCAUUUGUUCCGCUAGGAGUCUUAGGGUUAACUAAACACUUGGUCGCUUUCCAUCUUGAGUUUAUUAACAGUCCAUUUGCGACUUGAUUUCUUCCAAGAUCUUCCUUCUCUGCGAACUAAGCAUUAAACUGGAGAGUCAAAAAAAAACCUUUCAACACAAAGAAGAGUUUUAAGUGUUUUCUUUGCAAUACAAGCAACGAGGAAAAACUAAUGCAACUGUGUUACUCUCAAAUGGAUACGAUCUGAUCAGACCUCAACACGCCUGACUUCAUCUGUCACUGAUGAGGGGUGCGCUGCUGAUAAGGGAAAGUUCUUACUUGUGCUACCAAUAACAUUUUCCAAUGGAGGCUCGAGAGGCAUCUGCAGCUCCAAUCCCAGCACAUGUUCUUAAUAUUUGGGCUAUAGUAUUGGUCAUUUUAGCUGCUAUUGUUGUUAUGACCUCAGUGAUAUUGUGCCCAGCUAUCAUUGUUAUAUUAUACAGGAUAAGAACAAACCCAAUGAGGCCUGGACACAUCUAAUUUAAAGUCAAAUUCACUGCACCAAAUGAUGAUGAUGUUGUUAUAUAUUUAUGUUUAUAACAUACAACCCUAACUUUAAAAUUCCUUUUUAGGCAUUUUCAUUUUUUUUAAUAAAUGAUUCAUGUAUUUAAGUUCACAAUCCUUUUUUCAAACCUAGAAACUUCUUGACUUCAUUCUGGAUAUUUGGCUUCCAACUGAAAAUACCCCUCUUCUUUACUGACUUCACAAAUGGAUAUUUACAUCCUUAUAGUGUUUGCAUGUUUGCACUUUGAGUUUAUUCAAUGCUGUCUUAGGCCUCUUCUUUACUUCCAUAUUUGUUUGCAUAAGUGCAUUUCAAUAAACCGUUCAAUUCUGUUUUAGCUCAA